UACAGAGGGUGCAAGCGUUAAUCGGAAUUACUGGGCGUAAAGCGUGCGUAGACGGUUAUUUAAGUCGGGUGUGAAAGCCCCGGGCUCAACCUGGGAAUUGCAUUCGAGACUGCAUUGCUGGAGUACGGAAGAGGAGGGCGGAAUUCCCGGUGUAGCGGUGAAAUGCGUAGAUAUCGGGAGGAACAUCAGUGGCGAAGGCGGCCCUCUGGUCCAGUACUGACACUCAAGUGCGAAAGCGUGGGGAGCAAACAGG
RNAcentral lists this ribosomal RNA (253 nucleotides) under uncultured bacterium. RNAcentral describes it as "partial 16S ribosomal RNA". It matches the Rfam family "Bacterial small subunit ribosomal RNA", at positions 524 to 776 of the family's 1533-position model. The record is from RNAcentral.